CUUGACAUGUACGGAAGUCCGCUGAGAGGUGGAUGUGCCCGAAAGGGAGCCGUAACACAGGUGCUGCAUGGCUGUCGUCAGCUCGUGUCGUGAGAUGUUGGGUUAAGUCCCGCAACGAGCGCAACCCUUGUCCCUAGUUGCUACGCAAGAGCACUCCAGGGAGACUGCCGGUGACAAACCGGAGGAAGGUGGGGAUGACGUCAAGUCCUCAUGGCCCUUAUGGGUAG
RNAcentral lists this ribosomal RNA (227 nucleotides) under uncultured beta proteobacterium. Its description in RNAcentral is "partial 16S ribosomal RNA". It matches the Rfam family "Bacterial small subunit ribosomal RNA", at positions 980 to 1211 of the family's 1533-position model. The record is from RNAcentral. Lineage: Bacteria; Pseudomonadati; Pseudomonadota; Betaproteobacteria.